Molecule: unclassified non-coding RNA, 376 nt
Filed under: uncultured bacterium
Lineage: Bacteria
Description: contains 16S-23S intergenic spacer region
Source: RNAcentral
UCCGGUUUGACCCCGGCAGUCUCCCAUGAGUCCCCACCAUAACGUGCUGGCAACAUGGAACGAGGGUUGCGCUCGUUGCGGGACUUAACCCAACAUCUCACGACACGAGCUGACGACAGCCAUGCACCACCUGUCACGAGCCCCGAAGGACCCCGCAUCUCUGCGAGUUUUCCCGUGAUGUCAAACCCAGGUAAGGUUCUUCGCGUCGCAUCGAAUUAAACCACAUGCUCCACCGCUUGUGCGGGCCCCCGUCAAUUCCUUUGAGUUUCAGCCUUGCGGCCGUACUCCCCAGGCGGGGCACUUAAUGCGUUAGCGCCGGCACCCAGGGGGUCGCUCCCCCAGGCACCUAGUGCCCAUCGUUUACGGCGUGGACUAC